Molecule: ribosomal RNA, 406 nt
Filed under: uncultured bacterium
Lineage: Bacteria
Description: partial 16S ribosomal RNA
Rfam family: Bacterial small subunit ribosomal RNA
Source: RNAcentral
AUUGAACGCUGGCGGCAGGCCUAACACAUGCAAGUCGAACGAGUGGCGGACGGGUGAGUAAUGUCUGGGAAACUGCCUGAAGGAGGGGGAUAACUACUGGAAAGGGUGGCUAAUACCGCAUGCCAGCAGAUGUUCCCAGAUGGUAUUAGCUUGUGGGUGGGGUAACGGCUCACCAAGGCGACGAGCCCUAGCUGGCCUGAGAGGAUGACCAGCCACACUGGAACUGAGACACGGCCCAGACUCCUACGGGAGGCAGCAGUGGGGAAUCUUGCACAAUGGGCGCAAGCCUGAUGCAGCCAUGCCGCGUGUAUGAAGAAGGCCUUCGGGUUGUAAAGUACUUUCAGCGGGGAGGCGUUACCCGAAGAAAAAGCACCGGCUAACUCCGUGCCAGCAGCCGCGGUAAUUC